This 116-nucleotide ribosomal RNA is filed under the name Pteropus alecto (black flying fox). The record is from RNAcentral. Lineage: Eukaryota; Metazoa; Chordata; Mammalia; Chiroptera; Pteropodidae.
GUCUACAGCCAUGCCACCCUGAACAAGCCUGAUGUCUGAGCUCAGAAGCUAAGCAGGGUUGGGCCUGGUUAGUACUUGGAUGGGAGACCACCUAGGAAGUCCAAGUGCUGGAGGCA